This 252-nucleotide ribosomal RNA is filed under the name uncultured bacterium. RNAcentral describes it as "partial 16S ribosomal RNA". It matches the Rfam family "Bacterial small subunit ribosomal RNA", at positions 524 to 776 of the family's 1533-position model. The record is from RNAcentral.
UACGGAGGAUGCGAGCGUUAUCCGGAUUUAUUGGGUUUAAAGGGUGCGUAGGCGGACGCUUAAGUCAGCGGUAAAAUUGCGGGGCUCAACCUCGUCGAGCCGUUGAAACUGGGUGCCUUGAGUGGGCGAGAAGUACGCGGAAUGCGUGGUGUAGCGGUGAAAUGCAUAGAUAUCACGCAGAACUCCGAUUGCGAAAGCGGCUCUCUGGUCUGUAACUGACGCUGAGGUUCGAAAGCGUGGGUAGCAAACAGG